UGGGGAAUCUUGCACAAUGGGCGCAAGCCUGAUGCAGCCAUGCCGCGUGAAUGAUGAAGGCCUUAGGGUUGUAAAAUUCUUUCGCCAGGGAUGAUAAUGACAGUACCUGGUAAAGAAGCCCCGGCUAACUUCGUGCCAGCAGCCGCGGUAAUACGAAGGGGGCUAGCGUUGUUCGGAAUUACUGGGCGUAAAGCGCGCGUAGGCGGAUUAUUAAGUCAGAUGUGAAAUCCCGGGGCUCAACCUCGGAACUGCAUUUGAAACUGAUAAUCUAGAGACCAGGAGAGGUUAGCGGAAUACCGAGUGUAGAGGUGAAAUUCGUAGAUAUUCGGUGGAACACCAGUGGCGAAGGCGGCUAACUGGACUGGUACUGACGCUGAGGUGCGAAAGCGUGGGGAGCAAACAGGAUUAGAUACCCCCGUAGUCC
This 424-nucleotide ribosomal RNA is filed under the name uncultured prokaryote. RNAcentral describes it as "bacterial SSU rRNA". It matches the Rfam family "Bacterial small subunit ribosomal RNA", at positions 355 to 796 of the family's 1533-position model. The record is from RNAcentral.